Molecule: ribosomal RNA, 497 nt
Filed under: uncultured bacterium
Lineage: Bacteria
Description: partial 16S ribosomal RNA
Rfam family: Bacterial small subunit ribosomal RNA
Source: RNAcentral
GAUGAACGCUGGCGGCGUGCCUAAUACAUGCAAGUCGAGCGAACAGACGCGGCGUUUGCUCCUCUCUCGUUAGCGGCGGACGGGUGAGACACACGUGGAUACCCUCCCUAUCAUUCUGGGAUCUCCUCGGGACUCCGGAGCUUAUCCCGGAUAAUCUCUUGCUCCGCAUGGUUCAUUAGUGAAAGUCGGUUUUUCUGUAACUUAUCGCUGGAUCUGCGCCGUAUUAGCUAGUUGGUACGGUCAAGGCUUACCAAGGCAAGCAUGCGUAACCGACCUGCGAGGGUGGUCGGCCACACGAGAACGGGGACACGGUCCAGACUCCUACGGGAGGCAGCAGUAGGGAAUCGUCCGCAAUGGGCGAAAGCCUUACGGAACAACGCCGCGUGAGUGAUGAAGGUCUUCGGAUCGUAAAACUCUGUUAUUAGGGAAGAACAAAUGUGGAAGUAACUAUGCACGUCUUGACGGUACCAAAUCAGAAAGCCACGGCUAACUACGUG